Non-coding RNA from Nelumbo nucifera (sacred lotus), 377 nucleotides. NCBI's taxonomy places the organism in Eukaryota, Viridiplantae, Streptophyta, Magnoliopsida, Proteales, Nelumbonaceae. The record is from RefSeq and is a predicted model, not a curated record.
AGAUUUUUGCUCUAUAAAAAGAAAAUGGGGACCCUAGAACGGUUUAAGCCUUUAAGGGAGUGGGGGAGUGGCAAAGACUAGCAAAUGCCUCCCUGAGCCCGAAGGCGGUUAUUGGAAACCAGAAGCUGUCUUUUUUUUGUUGUUGGGUGAUGGGUGCAGGUGGAGAAUUCCAAAGGGAUCGCAUUGAUCCGAUUCCCUCCCCCAUACCAAAGUGGGCGGUUUUGAUUCUCCGUCUUCUUUUCUUUGAUUUAUCGGAUCAUGCGAUCUCUUCGGAAUUUUCCAUCUGUGGCUUUAGAUUUCUCGUCAUCGUUUCGAGUGAGGCAUGAAGCUGGGAAGGUUGGAACCGAUUCUGUGAAUUGGGUAACCCAUUACUGUAA